GUAUUUGGAUUCAAGCGUGUCCAUGGUAGUAAAGCAGAGAAAGGUGAAGAAAGCAAAUACAGAGAAUAUGUCCGUAAUCCCUUCCUUAUUUACAUGACCGAUGUUGAGUUUUUGAAAAAUGGGAAUUCUAAAUGGUUGGUGAUAGUGGUCAUGUUUCUAUUGGGCAUAGCAGUGCAAGUUUACACAGCAAAUUUAACAUCAAUUUUA
Long non-coding RNA from Neltuma alba, 207 nucleotides. RefSeq lists it as uncharacterized. The record is from RefSeq and is a predicted model, not a curated record. The transcript is spliced from 3 exons. Lineage: Eukaryota; Viridiplantae; Streptophyta; Magnoliopsida; Fabales; Fabaceae.